Rhipicephalus microplus (southern cattle tick) is the source of this 195-nucleotide small nuclear RNA. RefSeq annotates it as U2 spliceosomal RNA. The record is from RefSeq and is a predicted model, not a curated record. NCBI's taxonomy places the organism in Eukaryota, Metazoa, Arthropoda, Arachnida, Ixodida, Ixodidae.
ACUCUUUCACUUACGGCCCUAUGAAAUAUGAAUAAAAGCCAAUGUGUUCUUAUCAGCUUAAUAUCUGAUACUGAUCCUAUUUGGAUCUAAGAUAUUAAACUCAUUUUUGCAAUGCCGUGGAGUGCUUGAAGCUUGCUUCACCCCCGCCACGGGUUGGCGCGGUAUUGCACUACCUCCAGGAUCGGCCCACUCCCC